RNAcentral lists this ribosomal RNA (500 nucleotides) under uncultured bacterium. RNAcentral's name for it is "partial 16S ribosomal RNA". It matches the Rfam family "Bacterial small subunit ribosomal RNA", at positions 30 to 523 of the family's 1533-position model. The record is from RNAcentral.
AUUGAACGCUGGCGGCAGGCCUAACACAUGCAAGUCGAGCGGAUGACGGGAGCUUGCUCCUUGAUUCAGCGGCGGAGGGGUGAGUAAUGCCUAGGAAUCUGCCUGGUAGUGGGGGACAACGUUUCGAAAGGAACGCUAAUACCGCAUACGUCCUACGGGAGAAAGCAGGGGACCUUCGGGCCUUGCGCUAUCAGAUGAGCCUAGGUCGGAUUAGCUAGGUGGUGGGGUAAUGGCUCACCAAGGCGACGAUCCGUAACUGGUCGGAGAGGAUGAUCAGUCACACUGGAACUGAGACACGGUCCAGACUCCUACGGGAGGCAGCAGUGGGGAAUAUUGGACAAUGGGCGAAAGCCUGAUCCAGCCAUGCCGCGUGUGUGAAGAAGGUCUUCGGAUUGUAAAGCACUUUAAGUUGGGAGGAAGGGCAGUAAGUUAAUACCUUGCUGUUUUGACGUUACCGACAGAAUAAGCACCGGCUAACUCUGUGCCAGCAGCCGCCGUAA